RNAcentral lists this long non-coding RNA (313 nucleotides) under Medicago truncatula (barrel medic). RNAcentral's name for it is "long non-coding RNA (MTRU_LNC005581)". The stretch from base 80 to 192 matches the Rfam family "MIR2593 microRNA precursor family". The record is from RNAcentral. Lineage: Eukaryota; Viridiplantae; Streptophyta; Magnoliopsida; Fabales; Fabaceae.
GGGAGAAUAAUCAUACGGAGAACUUUAGUGUAAUAAAAGUCAAGUAUUAUGAAAAAAUAGCUACUCUCUCCGAUCCUAAUUAUAAGCAAAUUCGACUUUUUAGGUUCAUUCAAUUAAUGAUGUAUGUGGUCCAUAAUAUGAACCAAAUACAUUCUUAAUUGAAUGAACCUAAAAAGUCAAAUUUGCUUGUAAUUAGGAACUGAGGGAGUAUAUAUUAACAUUUAAACUAAAAGAACAUAUUAAAAUUCUCAUGAGGUCCAAGACCUUGAGAACUAGCCUGACAGCUUCAGCAGUCUACAUAUCAAGGUUAAAA